This is a long non-coding RNA of Cyprinus carpio carpio, 3361 nucleotides long. The record is from Ensembl. NCBI's taxonomy places the organism in Eukaryota, Metazoa, Chordata, Actinopteri, Cypriniformes, Cyprinidae.
AUGCGCAUUCACUCCGCGCGCUCAAGCUGCCUCCCGAGAUGCUCAGCUGUGGACGAUUUCAAAAUGUUUGAUAUAAAGGUUGCUGUCACAUAUUAUAUACAGGAAUUGUUCAUUAAAAAAAAGUCAAAAUAUAUUGUUAGUUUUAUGCUAACAUGCAAUCAAGGUCUUCAGAUACUAUAUAAGAUACAAGUUAAUUUAGACUAUUUAACAUGCACUGUGACAUUUUACCGUUUCAACUUAUAAACUCCUUGAGAUUUUAAAGUCAGUUUAAUAGUAUUGAAAUUCAAGUUGAAUCUAGUAUAAAAAAGGUUUUAAUUGCUUAAAUUAUUUCUAUGAAUUAAUAAGUUAGCAUGACUUUUUCAUCAUAGCAUUUUUUACGAGCUGUAUUUGUUUUUUUCUUUUUUAAAUUUAUUAAUCGCUCGCAUAUCUCCUACAACCUACAAAUAAGGGCUAAUAGAGGUUCUUUAUUUUAUUAUUUAUUUAUAAUGUUUAUUCUCGAAGAAAAUAAGUAUUUAUUCUUUAAUAAAAUAAGGGACAGAAUAAGGGACGAUCCAAAUAUUUGUAAUGUACAAUAAUAUAGGCCUAUAUCUGCCUGCAGUUAAAAAGUUAUAUUUGUUUUGAUUCACCCAUUUAUGUAGGAUACAAUUAUUCUAAAAAUAAAAAUAAAUAAUGUCAUAAAAAACGCCAUCGGCCUGAAUAAAUUUUACCAUUAUAGAAUUGGGGUAGUAAUUUAGGAGGUGAAAAUACAGUGAAAUUACAAAUGGCAUGGGAUUUUAAUGUAUGACAACUGAAGGUCUAUGAAACGUUUCUAUGAUGCAUUUUUUUAAACAAUGGCACUUAAAGUUUUCAACUAAAAUAUUAUUUCAACCAUAUAGCCUGUGAAUAAAUAAAAUGCAUACUUUUCAAUGAAAGAACACUGAGAGUGUAGGUUGUGUCACAGCCUACACCCUCUCCACAUGCCACGCCUACUCGUUCACAAUCACCAGAAUUCUGAGCACCUGUCCAUCAUCACCAGGCUCUCAUAUAAAGCCUAUCACUUUCCCUCACUCCUCGUCUGAUCUAGCAUUGACUCACAUGUACUUACCUGAACCCUUGCUACCAUUGUUGUUCCUCUGGAUACCCAUUGUUCCUUCCUCGUCAGUUCCUCUGUGCUGCCUUCCGAUUCUGUCAUCUACUUCCAUCACAACCAGAGCUAAGUUCCAACCUUCUUCAUGUCAAGACUAUUCCAGUUGCUUCACCUGUGUCUGAAACCUCUGUCACAAUAAAUACAGCUACACGUUCACCUACCUCUGUGUUCCCGUCUUGUGUCUGACAGGUUACUUCUGGUGUUUGGAUUUUUACUUCAAUAUAUAAUGAGCUCCAAGUUUAAGAAUAGCCUACACUAAAACCAAACAAGAUUUGUAAUGAAGAUAAAAUGUAGACAAAUAAGAAUAAAUGCUGCACGUGCACUCAGCAUCAUGCGCGCUGAGCAAAUCUUGCUCUCUGACAUUUUACAGAAUAUUGUACAAACCUGCAAUUAAAUGCGGCUGCAAUUUAUUUAUUUCAUUUAUUUAUUUAUUUUUACUUAAAUUAUACGAAAGCAAGUAAAGAAGACUCCAUUUAAAAUCACUCAAGUUGUCAAUUAAUAAGGCUCUUUUUUACAUCGUGUGUAUUUUGUUGAUUAUAAUGAGAGAACUUCAGUUUAAACGUGAGGGCGUUUUAUUAAUCAGUCCAUUCUUUAGAGUUUCAGUGAUUUAGCUAAAUCGUGCAGGUUUAAUUUAUUCGUUUCUUGUUUAAAUUAGGCCUAAAUAAUGGGAGCGAAAAUAUACAGUCGCUCACGUUUUACUAAAAUACAGAAAAUAAUUUAUAAAACACGCAAGCCUAGCUCACAAUAGGCUACCACUCUUAAUGCUCCGAUGCAAAGUAAACCACAAUUUAUUUUGAAUAAUAUAACACACAAUUCAUAUUAUAUAAAUAAUACUGCACACUAUUUAAAUGUGUCAAAUCUAAAAUAUGGUGUAGAGAAAAUAUAAGCACAGGCUCAUAGGCUUGACAUUUAUCCUGCUUGAAUUCGUUCUAAGAAACGCACAUAUCUUCAUUAGGACUAAACUUUCAUCUGUGAAUAUUAAAUAUUUUUUCUUUCAUUUUCCCCGACUGCAGUCAAAUAUAACACAUCGGUGAGGCAAAGCUGACGUCUAUUCACGAAAAUGUGCUUUGCAUGCCCUUGUUUGAAAACUUGUGAUUAAAGCGCCACUCAGCGGUCAAAAGCUGCAAAUGCACUUUGCAGACGCCGCGGCAGCGGUACGAGCGGCGGUAGAACCGACGUUUUGGAUGGCCACCUACUGUACACACACAUACAUUUAAAUAAAAUAAAUAUAAACAUAAAAAAUUAUAAUAAUCUGCUAAUUUUUCUCCCAAAGACAAACCCCGGCUGGCCGGCCAUCGGUCCUUUCUCUGUGUCAAGGCUAAUUUAUACUUGACGCGUCCGCAAUUUCGCUUGGGUGAGCGCGGAAAAUAUGCCGUCAUCGUGGUGUUGCCGGAAGUUCGCUUUGAGUGUGCACAAAUUAUUCGCGUGGCGGAGUGCACGGCAUUUUUUGUAAUUUUCCGCAUCCGAACAUGCAUGAGUUCAGGGCGAUUCUAGCCGAACAUGCACGUCUAUGCCAGAGUUUGUAUGAAACAGAAGCGUUUUAAUGUGAAGUUCAAACUCCAUCAGGUGCUUUUUAAUGGAAAAUGUUUUUUUUGGGGAAAAAAAAGGUUUGCAUAGUUUGUCCAAGGCUUCUUAUUUGAAGUACGUUUUAUUUUUAUUGUAUAAAAUAGAAUUAGAAUUGAUUUAGAUAUUAAUUCUACACUAUUUGCUUAAAGUUGUCUUGUGUUUGAUGCGUAAUACAGCCAAUAGUUUAAGAUUGUUUUAAGUUUGUACAUAAAGAAAUGAUUAAUUCAUCAACUCAUUCAUCACAAGACUUGUACUGGCCAUACUGGCAAAUGACUUCUUCUCACCGGUGAUUCCCGACGGUUUUAGAGGACAACUAAUCCUCGUCGCUCCCCUGUCAUUUCAAAGAAUAGUACAAUGGCGAACGUGACAAGUAUAAAAGCCUCGUCCAUUUGGGAAGGUGUGCUUGCAGUCAGCGGAGCCAGGCGAAAGUAUUAAUCCCGCUUAACUUUGUUUUUUGUCAUCUUCUUAAUAAUGUCGCGAGUGGGGCUUGAGGAAGUGAUGUCGGUCGCGUCUGCGCAGAAACAGAAAUACUGCUAAAUAAUAAUAACGCGACUAAACAAGACGAAAAUAAUGUUAAAACAAUUUGUUUAAUCUUGUUUUGGUCAACGAAAAUGAAGAGACAUUUUAGCAUAGUUUUUAUUUUGUAAACCACAUUUAGUCUCGUUUUUA